AAGUCGUAACAAGGUAACCGUAGGUGAACCUGCGGUUGGAUCAUUAAAGAAUUAUGAUGUGGCGUCGCAUGCCUUCAAAAGCGGCGUCGUCACACUCAUAUCCACCUCUUUGUGUAACGUUUCCUGUAUUUUGGCGGUCCACAAACCAUGGGCAAAGACACUCGUGUCUUUCGCUCGGACCGCCAGCCACAAACAACACCUGCUUUGCUUUUUUUGUGUCUUUGAAUGCCUCUUUGAGAGGUUUCUAAAAUUUGAAAACAACUUUUGACAACGGAUCUCUUGGCUCUC
Molecule: unclassified non-coding RNA, 288 nt
Filed under: fungal sp.
Lineage: Eukaryota; Fungi
Description: partial internal transcribed spacer region
Rfam family: Eukaryotic small subunit ribosomal RNA (bases 1-46)
Source: RNAcentral